GAGGUCGGGAGAGGGAUGCGGAAUUCCAGGUGUAGCGGUGAAAUGCGUAGAUAUCUGGAGGAACACCGGUGGCGAAGGCGGCAUCCUGGACCAACACUGACACUGAGGAGCGAAAGCCAGGGGAGCAAACGGGAUUAGAUACCCCGGUAGUCCUGGCCCUAAACGAUGAAUGCUUGGUGUGGCGGGUAUCGAUCCCUGCCGUGCCGAAGCUAACGCAUUAAGCAUUCCGCCUGGGGAGUACGGUCGCAAGGCUGAAACUCAAAUGAAUUGACGG
RNAcentral lists this ribosomal RNA (274 nucleotides) under uncultured bacterium. Its description in RNAcentral is "partial 16S ribosomal RNA". It matches the Rfam family "Bacterial small subunit ribosomal RNA", at positions 644 to 916 of the family's 1533-position model. The record is from RNAcentral.